RNAcentral lists this ribosomal RNA (468 nucleotides) under uncultured bacterium. RNAcentral describes it as "partial 16S ribosomal RNA". It matches the Rfam family "Bacterial small subunit ribosomal RNA", at positions 28 to 507 of the family's 1533-position model. The record is from RNAcentral.
GACGAACGCUGGCGGCGUGCUUAACACAUGCAAGUCGAACGGAAAGGCCCUGCAUCUGUGGGGUGCCCGAGUGGCGAACGGGUGAGUAACACGUGAGUAACCUGCCUUUGACUCUGGGAUAACUUCAGGAAACUGGGGCCAAUACCGGAUAGGAGCUCCUGCUGCAUGGCGGGGGUUGGAAAGUUUCGGCGGUUGGGGCUGGACUCGCGGCUUAUCAGCUUGUUGGUGGGGUAGUGGCUUACCACGGCUGUGACGGGUCGCCGGCCUGAGAGGGUGACCGGCCACAUUGGGACUGAGAUACGGCCCAGACUCCUACGGGAGGCAGCGGUGGGGAAUAUUGCACAAUGGGCGGAAGCCGGGUGCAGCAACGCCGCGUGCGGGAUGACGGCCUUCGGGUUGUAAACCGCUUUCGCCUAUGACGAAGCGUGAGUGACGGUAAUGGGUAAAAAAGCACCGGCUAACUACGUG